GAUGAACGCUGGCGGCGUGCCUAAUACAUGCAAGUCGAGCGAACAGACGAGGAGCUUGCUCCUCUGACGUUAGCGGCGGACGGGUGAGUAACACGUGGAUAACCUACCUAUAAGACUGGGAUAACUUCGGGAAGCCGGAGCUAAUACCGGAUAAUAUAUUGAACCGCAUGGUUCAAUAGUGAAAGACGGUUUUGCUGUCACUUAUAGAUGGAUCCGCGCCGCAUUAGCUAGUUGGUAAGGUAACGGCUUACCAAGGCGACGAUGCGUAGCCGACCUGAGAGGGUGAUCGGCCAAACUGGAACUGAGACACGGUCCAGACGCCUACGGGAGGCAGCAGUAGGGAAUCUUCCGCAAUGGGCGAAAGCCUGACGGAGCAACGCCGCGUGAGUGAUGAAGGUCUUCGGAUCGUAAAACUCUGUUAUUAGGGAAGAACAAAUGUGUAAGUAACUAUGCACGUCUUGACGGUACCUAAUCAGAAAGCCACGGCUAACUACGUG
Molecule: ribosomal RNA, 497 nt
Filed under: uncultured bacterium
Lineage: Bacteria
Description: partial 16S ribosomal RNA
Rfam family: Bacterial small subunit ribosomal RNA
Source: RNAcentral